GGCCCGCACAAGCGGAGGAACAUGUGGUUUAAUUCGAUGAUACGCGAGGAACCUUACCCGGGCUUGAACUGCGGCUGCAUAGACCAGAGAUGGUCUUUCCCUUCGGGGCUGCCGCGGAGGUGCUGCAUGGUUGUCGUCAGCUCGUGCCGUGAGGUGUCGGCUUAAGUGCCGUAACGAGCGCAACCCUUCUCCACGCUUGCCAUCGGGUAAUGCUGGGCACACCGUGGACACUGCCAUCGUAAGAUGCGAGGAAGGUGGGGAUGACGUCAAAUCAGCACGGCCCUUACGUCCGGGGCUACACACGUGUUACAAUGGCCGGUACAGAGGGAAGCCACCUGGCGACAGGGCGCGGAUCCCGAAAUCCGGUCUCAGUUCGGACUGGAGUCUGCAACCCGACUCCACGAAGCUGGAUUCGCUAGUAAUCGCGCAUCAGCCAUGGCGCGGUGAAUACGUUCCCGGGC
RNAcentral lists this ribosomal RNA (461 nucleotides) under uncultured bacterium. RNAcentral's name for it is "bacterial SSU rRNA". It matches the Rfam family "Bacterial small subunit ribosomal RNA", at positions 918 to 1379 of the family's 1533-position model. The record is from RNAcentral.